CCUACGGGAGGCUGCAGUGGGGAAUAUUGGACAAUGGGGGGAACCCUGAUCCAGCCAUGCCGCGUGUGUGAAGAAGGCCCUCGGGUUGUAAAGCACUUUCAGUGAGGAAGAACGCCUGGUGGUUAAUACCCAUCAGGAAAGACAUCACUCACAGAAGAAGCACCGGCUAACUCCGUGCCAGCAGCCGCGGUAAUACGGAGGGGGCGAGCGUUAAUCGGAAUUACUGGGCGUAAAGCGCGCGUAGGUGGCUUGAUAAGCCGGUUGUGAAAGCCCCGGGCUCAACCUGGGAACGGCAUCCGGAACUGUCAAGCUAGAGUGCAGGAGAGGAAGGUGGAAUUCCCGGUGUAGCGGUGAAAUGCGUAGAGAUCGGGAGGAAUACCAGUGGCGAAGGCGGCCUUCUGGACUGACACUGACACUGAGGUGCGAAAGCGUGGGUAGCAAACAGGAUUAGAUACCCCAGUAGUC
Molecule: ribosomal RNA, 465 nt
Filed under: Vreelandella stevensii
Lineage: Bacteria; Pseudomonadati; Pseudomonadota; Gammaproteobacteria; Oceanospirillales; Halomonadaceae
Description: partial 16S ribosomal RNA
Rfam family: Bacterial small subunit ribosomal RNA
Source: RNAcentral